UACGUAGGGUGCAAGCGUUGUCCGGAAUUAUUGGGCGUAAAGAGCUCGUAGGCGGUCUGUCGCGUCUGCUGUGAAAACCCGAGGCUCAACCUCGGGCCUGCAGUGGGUACGGGCAGACUAGAGUGCGGUAGGGGAGAUUGGAAUUCCUGGUGUAGCGGUGGAAUGCGCAGAUAUCAGGAGGAACACCGAUGGCGAAGGCAGAUCUCUGGGCCGUAACUGACGCUGAGGAGCGAAAGCGUGGGGAGCGAACAGG
Molecule: ribosomal RNA, 253 nt
Filed under: uncultured bacterium
Lineage: Bacteria
Description: partial 16S ribosomal RNA
Rfam family: Bacterial small subunit ribosomal RNA
Source: RNAcentral